Molecule: long non-coding RNA, 1036 nt
Filed under: Zostera marina
Lineage: Eukaryota; Viridiplantae; Streptophyta; Magnoliopsida; Alismatales; Zosteraceae
Description: long non-coding RNA (ZMAR_LNC002731)
Source: RNAcentral
UGCACAUAAAAUUAAAUUAAUUUUCAACCAAACACAAGAAAGCGACACCACAUCUACCAACAGAGAUCCAUACAGAAAAUCAAGUAUAAAAAAAAAGGUAAUGAUAUUAGUAAUAACUAACCUACAGAUCACUAGAACCGGUAUCGAAGCGACUCUCCCCAACGUUAAAAUCGUCAUCAAAUUCUUCCCCUUCCUUUUUCUGUUCCCAUUCCCGUUGCAAACGCAUUUCUGACUGAAUUCCGAUCCUAUUCCCGCUAUAUGCUGCAGUGCUGGUGAUUGGAUGGCUUCGAUUUACAAUUUUGGGGGGAAAUAUCAAACACAGUUGAGGCAAGUGUAAUGAUCACUGAUCAGUGUUUCUCAAAACGCUUCUUUCUAAUAUUAAUCGUAAUUUACAACGAAAACCUUAGGAAAACUUUAAUUUACUAAUUAAUCCUUUUUUAAUCGUAAUUAUUCAAAAAUUUAAGGUAAAGACAAAUAAACUAACCAUUCAUUAUCCAAGAUUCAAGAAAAGAAAAAGGUUUCAACUUUCAAACCAACUGACUAUUUUGCAAUACAAGAUCUAACAAAUGAGCAAUUACAAUUCACAAUUAACAAGCAUUCAUACCAUGUCAUUUUGGUAAAAGCUGUUAAAUAAAUAGACAUCACUCUUAUAAUCAGAUCAUUUAAUUAAUGAAAGAUAUCAUAUUAAUAAACACUAAAUUCUGUCAUUUAAUGUAAUUUAAAAAAAUUUUGAGAAGAUUAGAACAGUUGCUACACAUGAAAUCAUGAAUACAUGAUGAUCAUCUGUUUUUUUUGUCCAGUCUGAUAUUAUAAGGAUUAGAAAAGUAAAUUUCGCACCUUGAUACAAGAAUUAUAAGAGAUAUAUUAAACAAACAAUUUUUUUUAUCUGAUGCAUCAGUUUUCGAUCUUAAGUACUUUCUUACCUGAUUGAAGAUAGUAGUUACUUCAUUCAGGAUCUAGGUGGAGUUCGAGACGAAUUUGGAGAUUCAGAUGUGCUGAUGUUCCUCUGAGAAGCAAGGUAUGUAAGAGCUGUCAC